Molecule: long non-coding RNA, 212 nt
Organism: Passer domesticus (house sparrow)
Lineage: Eukaryota; Metazoa; Chordata; Aves; Passeriformes; Passeridae
Exons: 3
Source: RefSeq, a predicted model, not a curated record
UGGACACCUGAGGAGAAAGAGGCCUUCCAAAAGGCUUUCCACACCUACGGCAAGGAUUUCCAUCUCAUCCAGAAGCAGAUCCCGAGUAAGACCGUGGCACAGUGUGUGGAGUACUACUACUGCUGGAAAAAAGAGCAGAAACUUGCCAGCAGCACUCUUGCUCAGACUGCGGGCAAACGGAAGAGGAGGAAAAGGCCUCCCAGGAAGGAGAC